CAGUGUUGAGCUCCUAGUACUUCUAGGUAACGUUUUGUAAAUCUCAACUUAAUAACGAAGUUUUCAAGUUUGAAAUUACAAAUAUAAACAUGAGAUGAUAAAUAGAUGGUCUUCAAGGCCGAAAUACAAGACACUUCUGAUAUUUUCGCCUGAAUUCAAGGGUAUUUCCGUACAAGGUCGUUACCAAUGGCAUCCCGGAGGCUUUGGUGGGACCAGCUCC
RNAcentral lists this long non-coding RNA (220 nucleotides) under Prunus persica (peach). Its description in RNAcentral is "long non-coding RNA (PPER_LNC000211)". The record is from RNAcentral. Lineage: Eukaryota; Viridiplantae; Streptophyta; Magnoliopsida; Rosales; Rosaceae.